RNAcentral lists this ribosomal RNA (253 nucleotides) under uncultured bacterium. RNAcentral describes it as "partial 16S ribosomal RNA". It matches the Rfam family "Bacterial small subunit ribosomal RNA", at positions 524 to 776 of the family's 1533-position model. The record is from RNAcentral.
GACAGAGGGGGCAAGCGUUGCUCGGAAUUACUGGGCGUAAAGGGCGCGUAGGCGGGAUGGCAAGUCGGUCGUGAAAUCCCUCGGCUCAACCGAGGAACGUCGAUCGAUACUGCUGUUCUUGAGGAUUGCAGAGGAGACUGGAAUUCCCGGUGUAGCGGUGAAAUGUGUAGAGAUCGGGAGGAACACCGGUGGCGAAGGCGGGUCUCUGGGCAAUUCCUGACGCUGAGGCGCGAAAGCUAGGGGAGCAAACAGG